RNAcentral lists this ribosomal RNA (330 nucleotides) under Ameerega yoshina. RNAcentral describes it as "partial 12S ribosomal RNA". It matches the Rfam family "Bacterial small subunit ribosomal RNA", at positions 776 to 1282 of the family's 1533-position model. Lineage: Eukaryota; Metazoa; Chordata; Amphibia; Anura; Dendrobatidae. The record is from RNAcentral.
GAUUAGAUACCCCACUAUGCCUAGUCGUAAACUUUAAUCUACUCCUACAUCGCCCGGGAACUACGAGCUAAGCUUAAAACCCAAAGGACUUGACGGUACCCCAUAUCCCCCUAGAGGAGCCUGUCCUAUAAUCGAUAACCCCCGUUUAACCUCACCAUUUUUUGCCAGUCAGCCUGUAUACCUCCGUCGUCAGCUUACCACGUGAGCGUCAGUGAGCCUAAUGUUUCUCCAACUACACGUCAGGUCAAGGUGCAACAUAUAAAAUGGGAAGAGAUGGGCUACACUUUCUACCAUAGAAUAAACGAAAGACUAAUGAAACCUAGUCAGAAG